RNAcentral lists this ribosomal RNA (563 nucleotides) under uncultured soil bacterium. Its description in RNAcentral is "bacterial SSU rRNA". It matches the Rfam family "Bacterial small subunit ribosomal RNA", at positions 35 to 591 of the family's 1533-position model. The record is from RNAcentral.
GCUGGCGGCGUGCCUAACACAUGCAAGUCGAGCGGUAGCAGGUGUAGCAAUACAUGCUGACGAGCGGCGAACGGGUGAGUAAUGCUUCGGAAUCUGCCCAAUGGUGGGGAAUAACCAGCCGAAAGGUUGGCUAAUACCGCAUAAGUCCUACGGGAGAAAGCAGGGGAUCGUAAGACCUUGCGCCGAUGGAUGAGCCGAAGUCGGAUUAGCUAGUUGGUAGGGUAACGGCCUACCAAGGCGACGAUCCGUAGCUGGUCUGAGAGGACGACCAGCCACACUGGGACUGAGACACGGCCCAGACUCCUACGGGAGGCAGCAGUGGGGAAUAUUGGACAAUGGGGGAAACCCUGAUCCAGCGACGCCGCGUGUGUGAAGAAGGCCUGCGGGUUGUAAAGCACUUUUAGUGGGGAUGAAAAGCUCAGGGAUAACACCUCUGGGUCUUGACCUAACCCACAGAAAAAGCACCGGCUAACUCUGUGCCAGCAGCCGCGGUAAUACAGAGGGUGCAAGCGUUAAUCGGAAUUACUGGGCGUAAAGCGUGCGUAGACGGUUAUGUAAGUCGG